RNAcentral lists this long non-coding RNA (4673 nucleotides) under Nicotiana tabacum (common tobacco). RNAcentral's name for it is "long non-coding RNA (NTAB_LNC019644)". The record is from RNAcentral. Lineage: Eukaryota; Viridiplantae; Streptophyta; Magnoliopsida; Solanales; Solanaceae.
UAAGGUGUUCACUUGUCCGCCCUCACCAAUUUUUGACAUUAGUUGGUAUUACUUAGUUAUAUUUAAGUAUUGUGAAGUAAUAUAACAAACAUUAGGGAAGCUUAACUUUGGCUGAUAUGGUUAGUGUGCUACAUAUAAUCUUAAUUUCUGGUAAUAAAAAGACACCAGAUUGAGUUAAAUUUCGGAUUCAAGGCACCCGAGGGUCUGACCAAGUGGUCAAUAAAACAUGGAAUAACCAUCAGGUCUCAGGUUCAAAACCCAAUGGAGACAAAAAAUACUAGGUGGUUUCUUCCCAUCUACUUAAGCCUUGGUAGGAAGAAUUACCUGAUGCUUGUGCUGGUGGGAGGUAGCAGGUAACAGGUGGAAUUAGUUGAGGUGCACGCGAGAAGGCCCUAACACCAAAAAGAAUCGGAAUUAGGAAUUCUUGUCAUCAUUCUGAUUCCACCAAAAUGCAUGCCAAAUAGCUUUUGUUGAAUUAAUCGGAUGUCAACUAGAUUUUAACAGAAUUCGAAGUUUAUUACUCAUAGAAUUCGAAGUUUAUUGUUCCUUUGACUUUGGUUUCUUUCUACUUUUCCCGUUUGCUUCCUUUGAGUUUGAUGCUUCUUGAGUUUGAUGCUUCUUGAUGACUUUGUAACAUUUAGGCCAUUUUGUACUUAUAAAAAAUCUAUAAGUUGUUUUCUUAGACAUUGUAUAUCCAAGUUUUCUUUUCUUGAUGAGAUCCUAUUUGUGUGCUUUUGUAGGUCAUAUUGGUAAGUUGAGUAUUAAAAUUCCGUGGAAAAAGCUUGGCUGGGCUCCUGUCAUAAUCAGUUUAGAGGAUGUAUUAGUGUGUGCAUCUCAGCGGGACGAGAAAGAGGUAUUAUGCCAUAAUUCACUGUUGCUAAAUCUUUUUGUUUAUCUUAAGAAAAUUCAACAUCAGUAAUGAUGAGUAAAAAAAGAAAAAAGGGCAGCUCGGUGCGCUAAGCUCCCGUUAUGCGCGGGGAACAUCAAUAAUGAUGAGUGUUCAAAAAAUUAUCAAAAAACUCAAACUGAACCGGAAGAUGAAUCAAACUGGCUCGAAAGAUCGACAUGUAGUUGGUACAAUUUGGUUUAGUAUGAAUUAUAAAACAAACCAAACCGACAUGACAAUACUAUCUAUUUUAUAUAUACUAGUUUUCUAGUACGUGCGUUGCACGUGAAUAUUGCGUCAAUAAUAAAAAAUUAUUAAAACCUUAUAUUCUUCGCCAUAUAAAUAACUAUUAAUAGAAUUAAAGCAGUAAUUGAGGUAGAAUUUAAUAAAAAAAGCAAAGGCAUAGUAAAAUUAUGAACUACAUAUUAAAUGUUGUGCCAAAACAAAUUGAUCCUCAUUUAGAAUAAAAUUGGAAUUUCAAAAAAAACAGUUGGAACUUCCUAAAUUUCAUUUCACCUAUAGACACCGCAUUGAGCUUUAUAAUUCAAAUACUCUCAUACUAUAAGAAUUGUCUGACAAUUGACAAAAAUAUACUAACAUAUAGAUGCUUGGUCCUGUCGUUACCCUUGAGAAGUAAAAGAAUAAAAAAAAUUCAUCUCAAAUUUGAUCAAUUGCGCUCCUUAAUCAACAAAAAAGAAUAAAAUAAAAGAAAUAAGAGCUAAUCUAAUCCAUACUCAUCAUACAUAUUGGCAGUAUAAUGCAAUAAAAAUUUCCAACUCAAAUUUAUUCGAAAAGAACUUAUGAAUGAAAACUCAUAACAUAGAUAAUUUAGAGGAAGAGAAACAAUAAAAGAAUAUAUACAUAAAAGAAGAAAGGUCAGGAUCGAAAACACAAGAUACCAGAUCAUUCAAAAUUAACACUACUUAAAUACAACCACAUACAAUGAUAGUGAUGAUAGAGAUUUUACAUUAUUUUUUGGCACAUCAGGAAAAGUAUCAAAAUCAUUGGUCUCAGGAAGCACUAAUAUUCGUGCUUGAUGAAAUAUUGAUAAAGCGGCUAACUCAUACAAUUAAAGUUGUCGCACCUUUUUACACCCGAGGGGGGUAUAAGGGAGAUUUUCCAAUUUAAGUGACAUAAUUCGAAAUGGGAUUAUUUUAUUUAUUCCAGAGUCGCCACUUGGGAUAUUUAUGGUAUCCCAAAUCACCGGUUUAUUUUAAAUCCCAAAUCGAGGAAAGUAGACUUCAUUUAAAAGUAUGCGAAACCAGAAAAACUAGGUAAGGAAUUCUGUUAACCCGAGAGAAGGUGUUAGGCAUUCCCGGAUUCCGUGGUUUUAGCACGGUCGCUCAACUAUUAAUAAUUGGCCUAAUUAUCUGAUUUAUUAUAUGUUUUAAACCUAUUGUGCAUUUUAACUUUAUAAACCACUUUUAGUAUUUAUGGAAUUAUUUUUGGAACAAGUCACGAUGUCGUACACUUGCCAUUUUGGUGCACGUUGCAAACCGCGCUACAUGAAAUGCACCCGCGAUUUACGACAUGUUUAUUUUAUUAUUAUUCGAAGUUACGGUCGGGUCACAUGAAAUGCACACGAAUGUGAUUUACGUAUCAUGACUAUGCCACGGGAACCGUACCCAUGGCCACUAUGAUUUAUUAUUAAUCGCGCCUAAAGCAUGCUACGAAUGUUCAUAACUAUUUUCCUAAAGCUAAUUUGAGAUUAUUUGUUACGAGCAUACCAAAUAUGAGCUUAAAAACUAGUAGUUGAUUAGUAAAAGGCUUAUCAAGAUGAACAAGCAAAAUGGUCAAGAGCUAAUCUCGAUUAAACAAAUAACGACAAAUUCUCAUUUAGAGGCAUAGAAAGGGCAGUCAAGUAGCUCAUUGGAAAUAACAAAACACGGCCAUUACUCCAAAUUACAAUAAAAACAAGAGGCGUUGCAGUACUUCCCCAUUCUCGAACUACACAAUAACUCCUCUUUUUAAACUAAUAAACUCGCUAACUUAGAAUUUUCACGUGAGUACUUUAAGCACAAGCGCAAACGUCAGAAAUUGUUUAAUGAUUUUCCAUUCAGACAUUGACUAGUUACACCAUACACGACUAUUAGGAGUGCAAAUGACCAGCAAGGUGAAAGAUUUUGUUUAUGGCUAGUUCUAAUUUGCUAUUCCUGGUUGAGAGGCAAGGAUCCAACGACAUAUUAAAGUGAUACUAAAUAAACAGAACACAUUGGUUCACUUUAUCUUAUCAAACAGAGGGGCAGAGGUACCAAUUUUAUGGACUAGGAUGAUGGAAACUUAAAUUGGUUAUCAUCAGUAAAUUACCUUAUCCAGUAUUAUCUCAAUUAAUUGCUUUACACCCCUUAUGUUUUUGUUGUCACAAAUCCGAAAUCUUCAUCCAUCCUCCAACCUCAGCAUUUAUAAAAAAUAUGAACCCAAAUAUGAAAACAACUGAUACCAAGGUGGAAGAACUGAAGCUACUUAUCAACAUGAUUCCUAUUUGGCUAACCACUUUACCGUUUGGAAUAUGUGCAGCACAAGGUGCAACUUUUCCUUUAUAAAACAAUGUGUGACAAUGAAUUGGAAAAUCUUAUUCAUUUUCAUAAGGGGCUACUGAGAUCUACCACAUACUCCAAAGACCAACUUCACCAAGCAUUUAACAUCAAUGUGCAGAUUACAUGGUUAACCAACCGAGAGGUUGUGAGUUCGAGUCUCCCAAGAGCAUGGUGGGAAAUUCUUGGAGGGAGGGAUGCCUAGGGUCUAUUUGAAAACAGCCUCCCUACCCAUGGUAGGAUAGGGGUAAGGUCUGCGUACACACUACCCUCCCCAGACCUCACUAAUUGGGAUUAUACUGGGUUGUUGUUGUUGUUCACAAAAUAUUGAAAUGAAGAAUAUAUAAGCAGGUUUUAUAGCAGUUAGAACAUCCGGCAGUACAAUUACAUGACUGAAAUUAAGGUCAUACCUCAAAAGCCAAAUGAAGACCUCAAAAUAACCAAAUGAUGGCAGAACUCGUGAAUCAACAGAGCUGGGACAAAAGAACAGCAACAGACCAGCGACAAACGAGCCGAAACUUGACAACGACGGAACUCCUUAGCAAGCCCAGAGAAUCGACGUCAAAACUAGAAGGAGUUGAAGCUACUCUCUCAAAUUACAACUUCCCUUCUUUUUUUUGUCUAAAACUCUUUUUCUUUAGAAUUUUAGAUCUGAAAUCUAAUCUUCAAUUGCAGGAUUUUGCUUCAAUUAUUUUUGAACUUUGAGAAUAACUUCGAAUUUUCGAAUCCGAAAUCCAGAAUUUCCAGCCUGCUUUAGCGUGUUUUUCGCGUGUGUGUGGUCAUUUAUACAAGUAAGAGGUGAGUGAGUGUGUCUUAGAAUAAGAGUGAAAAUGAAGAAGAAGAAGAAGAAGAACUAGAAGAAGAAGAGAGGGGAAAGCUGCUACAAGGUUCGGAAAAAAUUAGGGUCUUUUUUUUAUUUAUUUAGGAGGAUACAGUAAUUUAUUUUAAAUAAAUAUCAUUUAAAAAAAUUAUAUUUUAUAGAUAUUUUUUAAGAUUUAUAGCAAAAUAUUUAAUUUUGGUUACAUACUAGCCCUAAAUCACUAAAUACGCUAAUCAGUUAUACUAUUUUCUUUCUCUCUACUUUGAUACAUCACAUCUCUUCCACAUUCCCAAUCUCCUCCUCUUUCAACCGGAUUUGUGCAAAGCCCACUUCAGAAAUUGCUCCGGCUCCUGCAUCCGACGACUGCGGAUAUAGUGGAUUAGAAUGUUUAGUGAAAAAGAGUACCAUUUUGAAACAGGAAUGAGUACCGCAG